CAACGAUUUGCUAUGUUGGAAAUGAAGGCUAUGAUAGCCUCUCUGAUACACAAUUUUUACUUGGAGCCCGUUAACUAUUUAAAGGAUCUUCGAAUGGAGGUUGGUAUCGUACUUGGCUCUGCUGAUCCAAUUCGUAUAAGAUUUGUUCCUGUCUGUAAUCUUAAUGCAAAUCUUUGAAUCAAAUACCGAUUUAAUAAGCGUCAUAGAAGACAAAUGUUAGCAAGGGCAAUAAUCACGUUAUGCGUUCUCUGAAUUGCCAAAAUCCAGAGAUAUUUAAACCAGAUAGAUUUUUGCCCAAGAAGAUCUGAAAUCGUUACUCUUACUUAUAUUUAUCAUUCUGUGUUGGACCACGUAAUUGCAUCGAAAAAUUCGCAAAGCUUAAUGGAGGCAUAUUGGAAUUGAUUACCUUUUAUCUGUAUAUUACCUAAUUGCGAGCAAGAGAGUUAAAACGCAUUAAAGAGACGUCAGUCGGAAUUAAAAAAUAAACUAAAUUAUCCGAUAAGAGAUAAUUAUAUAUGCGGCGUAUAAUUUAAUUUUACAUUUAAUAAACAAUGUUACAUGAAAUAAAAGUGUUGUCGCGUUUA
Wasmannia auropunctata (little fire ant) is the source of this 584-nucleotide long non-coding RNA. RefSeq lists it as uncharacterized. The transcript has 2 exons. The record is from RefSeq and is a predicted model, not a curated record. NCBI's taxonomy places the organism in Eukaryota, Metazoa, Arthropoda, Insecta, Hymenoptera, Formicidae.